UAUGUUAUAUACAUGGAUAUAUAAACAAGAUUACUGUUUGGUUGUUCUUAAUUCUCAUUUUUUGUUUAAAUUUAUUUUGUGCUCUCCAAGUUAAUGGUUUAUUUAUUUAUUCUUUUUUAUUUUGUUUUCAAAUUAUAUUUUUGUUGUAGGAAUUGGAUCAAGAGAGUGAGAUUCCAUCGUCAAAAGAGUUAGAAAGUAGAUCUUUUGAAGCGAAUAAUAGAGCAGUGUGAUUUUUUUUUAUGAUAGAGACUUGAUGUAUUAAGAGCUGUAUGUCAAAACCUUUA
Molecule: non-coding RNA, 284 nt
Organism: Arachis ipaensis
Lineage: Eukaryota; Viridiplantae; Streptophyta; Magnoliopsida; Fabales; Fabaceae
Source: RefSeq, a predicted model, not a curated record